Non-coding RNA from Cordylochernes scorpioides, 68 nucleotides. The record is from the annotation of a GenBank genome assembly. NCBI's taxonomy places the organism in Eukaryota, Metazoa, Arthropoda, Arachnida, Pseudoscorpiones, Chernetidae.
UGUCCAGGGAUGGGAAUCGAACCCACAGUGUUCCGCUUACCGGGCAGAUGCCAUGUCCACUAGGCUAC